GUGAUGGGUAACGAUGCUUCGAGGGUGACUGUUGUCGUUGUGUGCAGAAGGUCCCUGGUUCGCGCCCGGGUAUGGGCGAGGGGACAAUUUAAAAUUAUACUGUUACACUAAUAAGCUGAAUUUAUUCACUUAGCCAACAUAUAAAGACUUAUUCGUUAACCAGAAGCAUAACUUGGCUGAUAAACAUUUUUUGUCACUCGGGUCCAAUCAGGUCUGGUCUAGACUUUAGGGUACGGGUCGGUUCAAGGUAUGGUGGUCGUCGGGUCCAUUUGGGUUUGGGUCUGAUUGGCCUCGGGUCCGGGACCCAAGAAGACCUCUACUUGGAAAUACACACAGUAUAUAAAGUUGUUGACAGGGAAUGUGUAGUCUUUGCUCAAACUAAGGACCCAGAAACUGAUGCCAUAUCCUAAACUGGUCACAUCUCCACAACAGGACCCACAAGCAACAGUCUUCCAACGACCUUCCACCUCCCCACCACCACCAACUGAAGGUCCGUCAUUGGAUCUCCAUUCUCCCAGUGAGGGGGUUCGAUGCCAGCUGCCCAGCAUCUGAUGAGCAUUCCUCUGAGACGAGGCCUACGCCUAACCCAAACUAUUCAAUAAAAUGACAUAUUGUAUUCUA
Long non-coding RNA from Oncorhynchus gorbuscha (pink salmon), 621 nucleotides. RefSeq lists it as uncharacterized. The transcript has 2 exons. The record is from RefSeq and is a predicted model, not a curated record. NCBI's taxonomy places the organism in Eukaryota, Metazoa, Chordata, Actinopteri, Salmoniformes, Salmonidae.